AUAGUACUCCCUUCGUCCGAAAAAACUUAUCCAAACUUGUUUCUCAAAUGGAUGUAUUUAGCACUAACUAGGUGUUAGAUACAUCCAUUUGAGGGAUAAGUUUUUUCGGACGGAGGGAGUACUAG
Molecule: non-coding RNA, 125 nt
Organism: Triticum aestivum (bread wheat)
Lineage: Eukaryota; Viridiplantae; Streptophyta; Magnoliopsida; Poales; Poaceae
Source: Rfam